ACCUUUGUAGUAUACAAGUAUAUCUGACUUCCAAUCAGAAGGAUCAAUUGACAAAGGUA
This 59-nucleotide transfer RNA is filed under the name Orthione mesoamericana. Its description in RNAcentral is "tRNA-Gly". The record is from RNAcentral. Lineage: Eukaryota; Metazoa; Arthropoda; Malacostraca; Isopoda; Bopyridae.